GAGGGAGAGAUGGUCACUGUUUUUGCUUUCUAUUUUUGUAUGCUUGAAGUGUCUCAGAGGUUGCAUACUGUUUUAUUUUUAAGUUAAGAAAACUCUGAAACAUCUUUACGAAACGGCCAUCAUCCCCCCCGGUCUAUAUGGCAUCUGUGGAUAAACACCCACUCUGUGAGCAGUUGUGUUCCUGGAGCCAGGCCUGCCCCGGAGCCGCCUCGGGCGCUGGAGAGGAGACUGGGCUGGGGGCACCACCGGAGGCUCCAGGCGGCCGUGGGCAGUCACCGACGGCUACAGUCACCAGAAGAAAGGGGCGCGUGCUGAGGGCCAUCGCAGAGAAUGGUCGGUAGAAGCUUCCAGCAGAGAGCUUCAAGCAAGCAGGGA
RNAcentral lists this long non-coding RNA (375 nucleotides) under Dasypus novemcinctus (nine-banded armadillo). Its description in RNAcentral is "lncRNA (ENSDNOG00000050442.1)". Lineage: Eukaryota; Metazoa; Chordata; Mammalia; Cingulata; Dasypodidae. The record is from RNAcentral.